CAGACGGGCGACGGCAGGGAGGAAUAUGGGGCAAUGGACGAGAGGCUGAACCAGCCAAGGAGCGUGAAGGAUGACUGCCCGAGGGGUUGUAAACUUCUUUUAUAAAGGAAUAAAACGAGGCACGUGUGCCUUUUUGCAUGUACUUUAUGAAUAAGGAUCGGCUAACUCCGUGCCAGCAGCCGCGGUAAUACGGAGGAUCCGAGCGUUAUCCGGAUUUAUUGGGUUUAAAGGGAGCGUAGAUGGGUUGUUAAGUCAGUUGUGAAAGUUUGCGGCUCAACCGUAAAAUUGCAAUUGAUACUGGCAGUCUUGAGUACAGUUGAGGUAGGCGGAAUUCGUGGUGUAGCGGUGAAAUGCUUAGAUAUCACGAAGAACCCCGAUUGCGAAGGCAGCUUACUAAACUGUGACUGACAUUGAUGCUCGAAAGUGUGGGUAUCAAACAGGAUUAGAUACCCGGGUAGUC
Molecule: ribosomal RNA, 460 nt
Filed under: uncultured bacterium
Lineage: Bacteria
Description: partial 16S ribosomal RNA
Rfam family: Bacterial small subunit ribosomal RNA
Source: RNAcentral